UUUCUCAGGUUGUCUCGUCCAUCACUGCUUCUCUUCGUUUUGAAGGCGCUCUUAGCGUUGAUCUCACUGAGUUCC
This 75-nucleotide microRNA precursor is filed under the name Heligmosomoides polygyrus. RNAcentral describes it as "microRNA hpo-mir-10080 precursor". The record is from miRBase by way of RNAcentral. Lineage: Eukaryota; Metazoa; Nematoda; Chromadorea; Rhabditida; Heligmosomidae.